UCCCUGGUGGUCUAGUGGAUAAGGAUCCCACUCUCUCACCUCCGUGGCCCUGGUUCGAUUUCCGGGCAGGGAA
Pangasianodon gigas (Mekong giant catfish) is the source of this 73-nucleotide non-coding RNA. The record is from the annotation of a GenBank genome assembly. Lineage: Eukaryota; Metazoa; Chordata; Actinopteri; Siluriformes; Pangasiidae.